UUACGGCCACAUCAGGUUGAAACAUCAGUUCUCUAUACGAUCACGGAAGUUAAGCAACGUCGAGCCUGUUUAGUACCAAGAUGGAUAACCGCUUGGGAAUACCUGGUACUA
Non-coding RNA from Acanthosepion pharaonis, 111 nucleotides. Lineage: Eukaryota; Metazoa; Mollusca; Cephalopoda; Sepiida; Sepiidae. The record is from the annotation of a GenBank genome assembly.